This 489-nucleotide ribosomal RNA is filed under the name uncultured bacterium. Its description in RNAcentral is "bacterial SSU rRNA". It matches the Rfam family "Bacterial small subunit ribosomal RNA", at positions 29 to 507 of the family's 1533-position model. The record is from RNAcentral.
AACUAACGCUGGCGGCGCGCCUAACACAUGCAAGUCAACGGGAACAUCCGUAGCAAUAUGGGGUUUUAGUGGCGACGGGUGAGUAACGCGUGAGGAACCUGCCUUUCGAGGGGAAUAACACAUCGAAAGAUGUGCUAAUACCGCAUAAUGUCAUCGGGUGGCAUCGCCUGAUGACCAAAAGAGCAAUCUGCCGAAAGACUGGCCUCGCGUCCGAUUAGAUACGUUGGUGAGGUAACGGCCCACCAAGUCUGCGAUCGGUAGCCGGACUGAGAGGACGACCAGCCACACUGGGACUGAGACACGGCCCAGACUCCUACGGGAGGCAGCAGUGGGGAAUUUUGGACAAUGGGCGCAAGCCUGAUCCAGCAAUGCCGCGUGCAGGAAGAAGGCCUUCGGGUUGUAAACUGCUUUUGUCAGGGAAGAAAUCUUCUGGGCUAAUACCCCGGGAGGAUGACGGUACCUGAAGAAUAAGCACCGGCUAACUACGUG